GUUGUAUGGUUAAGUGACUAAGCGUACAUGGUGGAUGCCUUGGCAGUCAGAGGCGAUGAAGGACGUACUAACCUGCGAUAAGCCGUGAGCAGUCGGUAAGAGACAUUACGACUCACGG
RNAcentral lists this ribosomal RNA (118 nucleotides) under Aeromonas enteropelogenes. RNAcentral's name for it is "partial 23S ribosomal RNA". It matches the Rfam family "Bacterial large subunit ribosomal RNA", at positions 1 to 109 of the family's 2925-position model. Lineage: Bacteria; Pseudomonadati; Pseudomonadota; Gammaproteobacteria; Aeromonadales; Aeromonadaceae. The record is from RNAcentral.